Paramacrobiotus metropolitanus is the source of this 2935-nucleotide long non-coding RNA. RefSeq lists it as uncharacterized. NCBI's taxonomy places the organism in Eukaryota, Metazoa, Tardigrada, Eutardigrada, Parachela, Macrobiotidae. The transcript is spliced from 7 exons. The record is from RefSeq and is a predicted model, not a curated record.
UUCAAUAUUAUUAAAAGUCAGCUAUUAGCGGUGCGACGUUUCGCGAUUCCGCGUAGUUCGCUAUACUUAUCGCAUAGCUCACUCCACGGGAUCUAUUCCGUUUAGGUCUCCGUAUCUGGAUCACUGCUGGAUCUAGCAUUAGAGGACGUUGAAUCCAGGCAAACUACCUGAGGCAAACUACAAUUUUUUGUACCUGAGUAGAUUGGCGAACGCGUCGGGAAUGAAAUCGGGAAUCUCGAUGGGAGCAUGGCGAAUUUCGGGCAGACUGCCAUAGAACAUGGUGCGGAACACGGAGUUGCGGAUACUCAGGAAAUGGCUACAAAUGCACCAAUAACAGAAUUAAAAUCUUGAAAACUCUUCCGACAAUGGACGGCCGGGUGGAGCGUUACUUGUGGGCUCUGAAGAUCUUCACAGGGCCAAAGUUGCCCCCAACGGCAAACUGCACAUCACUGAAAUCGCCGCUUGUUAAUGCCUGCUGCAUGCAGCUGACGACGGUGGACUUCAUUCCGUCCGGUUGGGGAAUGGCCGAUGAAGUAGUAUUUGUGGAGGCCAUUCCGAUGCCAACGGUGAAUGCAACAGUUUGAGCCUCGAGACUUGAGAGUCCCCGAUUAGCCGACGGCGCUGGAGUCGGAAUAUGGACAACACAAAAGAUACACAGUUUUAAAAGAUAAGUGUAAAUGGAAAUUGAGGAAUAGUUUAAAACGCACAAACAGGAAAGCAAAUUAAACAUGUAGAAUGUGACUUGUGCAAGUCUUAUUAAUUUUUAUACAAAGCAAAAAAAGCGGUUCUGAACGCCACAGCAGCGUUAGUAGUUAUUACUGUGUCUGCCUAUCUGGCUGACUCUGGCACCAUCGCUGAUUGGCCUGAGUUGAUAUUCAUUCAUUCAUGUAUCAGGAGCAGACAACCCGUUUAACAGGACUUCAAUAUCUGGUCGGUAAAAAAUGCAGCAAAAAAUUACAGAAGAGGUUAUUUAGACAGAUCAACAGUUUUCAGAGCAAACUUGAGAAAGUAUUACAGCGUGUACAUACUCCCAGGCUUUCAGAAAUUAUUCCUGCUUUCGAAUACAAUUGUGAUGGUUCUAUUAUGCCUAAUUAGUAAUUAACUAUAAAUUUUCAUUUCUUUUCCUGUCUUUCCUGCUACUAUCCGAGUGAGAAGCUACCGAUGAAACGGUCCAGCCAUGUCCACCUGUGACGGUGACGCCCGACUGCGGGUCCACCAAUACAGCUCCUUCGAACGGUCCAAAGAAGCAAGAGCUGGGCAGCUGCCGCAGCGCCGUGGAUUCUCGUGGCGCUAACCGGCUUCAAAUUCUGGACGCCUCGUUAUACGUCAUACAGUUUCCGCUCCAAUUACACUUAGCUAGGAUAACCCACCAUGUCCACGAAUUCAACUUCACCGAAAACUGCUCCUGGGAAGCAGCUGGGCAGCGGCCGAAUCACUGACUACAUGGAACGAACACUGGCGCAGGGAGAAUUCACUGAUGUGUGUUUCACAGUGGGACGUGAUUUUGGCGAAGUGCAGAACUUUUCCGCGCACAAACUCGUCUUGAGCCGCAGUGCAGUGUUUCGAGCGAUGUUCUAUGGAAGCUUGCCUGAAAAGUGUGAUGCAGCUAUCGGCAUUCCCGAUGUCCAUCCGGAAGCAUUUGCCAAUAUGCUCAGUUUCUUGUACACGGAUUCAUUUGAUCAGCUCAGUGCUGACAAUGUCUUCGCGACGAUGAGCUGCGCCGACAAGUACAUGCCGCAGCUGGUGCAAAUUUGCUCUAACUUCAUCGAACGCCGGUUGAAUGCUGACAAUUUUUUAUCCACGUGGAAAGAGGCACGGAUUUCUUCUUUAAUCACUACGCUGUUUCUUCGCAAGCCGACAGCAUCGUGGAGAAAUGCAUGGCUUUCCUGGAUGCUAACACUGCGAAGAUUGUGGAAUCGGGAGAGUUCCCUGAUAUCUCAUUGGAUACACUGCACAGUACCUGCAGCGCGACACGCUGUCGGCAGAAGAGCACGAUGUAUACUUGACUGUUGAACGCUGUCAUGGUAGGUGGGCAACGGCUGCCUGCGCUCGUCACGCUAUGGACGCUUCCGGCGCUAACCGGCGUCAGAUGUUGGGCACGGCGCUAUUUCUCGUCCGAUUUCCGCUGCUGACCAACACCGAACUCGCUGAUGGUCCCGGAAAGAGCGGUCUGCUGAUGGAGUCGGAGUUAUACUCCUUGUUCAUGUACCAGAAUUCUAACACGAAGCUAGAGGGACGGUUUCCCACGCAGCCACGCACGGGACAGCGGAGAAUCGUGUUUCCGGGUGCGGACAUAUUCGUGCUUCGGUCCUAUUACCUUCAGCCAGCUAGAAUAACCGGAGUGCAUCAGCAACACGUUGUCUUCACUUGGUACAGCAACGACGCAUUUCGCAAGGAGGGCACUACUCCGACGAAACUCGUGUUUCGUCCUCAGCAAGUCUUGAAAAGAGGUCGGAGCGUGCGCAUCCUUUCAUCGGGAGAAAAUGCCGAAUACGAAAGGGCCCUAAUGGGUGGACUGCACCGGAUAAAGGUGCGCGGGGAAUACAAGACUGUCGGAUUCACUGAUUUGAAGGUGCUUUACAGAGAGGGUAGAACAAGGAAUACCUUGGAUUGAGUCGAUGGCCAAACUUUUCUUGAACGGAUAAUAUGUGCAUCUGGUUGAUAAACUGCCCGAUGUUUUGGUUAUUGCAACGGGGACGUCAUUUGUAUUCUUUUUAUGGACAUUCGUAAUUUCUCAGCUUCGUUUCCAUUUUUCAUGUUACGUUACGAGGUUUCAGUAACAUGAUUCCAGCUCGAAUGCAACAUCAGGUCAAGAGCCAGCAAGAUUUACGCAACCGUUGCAUCCAUAUUGUUUUUCUUUAGAACUUGUUUUUACUUUUGUCCUCCGCCAUCUGAUGUCCGUCCUGCACUGUAUUUGUAACCCUGUCACAAUAAG